AACGAUGAACCUCGCUUGCGGGGGGAUUAGUGGCGAACGGGUGAGUAACACGUGAGUAACCUGCCCUUAACUCUGGGAUAAGCCUGGGAAACUGGGUCUAAUACUGGAUAUUGACUUUUCACCGCAUGGUGGGGGGUUGAAAGCUUUUGUGGUUUUGGAUGGACUCGCGGCCUAUCAGCUUGUUGGUGAGGUAAUGGCUCACCAAGGCGACGACGGGUAGCCGGCCUGAGAGGGUGACCGGCCACACUGGGACUGAGACACGGCCCAGACUCCUACGGGAGGCAGCAGUGGGGAAUAUUGCACAAUGGGCGAAAGCCUGAUGCAGCGACGCCGCGUGAGGGAUGACGGCCUUCGGGUUGUAAACCUCUUUCAGUAGGGAACAAGGCUACACGUUGUGUGGUUGAGGGUACCUGCAGAAGAAGCGCCGGCUAACUACGUGCCAGCAGCCGCGGUAAUACGUAGGGCGCAAGCGUUAUCCGGAAUUAUUGGGCGUAAAGAGCUCGUAGGCGGUUUGUCGCGUCUGCCGUGAAAGUCCGGGGCUCAACUCCGGAUCUGCGGUGGGUACGGGCAGACUAGAGUGAUGUAGGGGAGACUGGAAUUCCUGGUGUAGCGGUGAAAUGCGCAGAUAUCAGGAGGAACACCGAUGGCGAAGGCAGGUCUCUGGGCAUUAACUGACGCUGAGGAGCGAAAGCAUGGGGAGCGAACAGGAUUAGAUACCCUGGUAGUCCAUGCCGUAAACGUUGGGCACUAGGUGUGGGGGACAUUCCACGUUUUCCGCGCCGUAGCUAACGCAUUAAGUGCCCCGCCUGGGGAGUACGGCCGCAAGGCUAAAACUCAAAGGAAUUGACGGGGGCCCGCACAAGCGGCGGAGCAUGCGGAUUAAUUCGAUGCAACGCGAAGAACCUUACCAAGGCUUGACAUGAACUGGAAACACUUGGAAACAAGUGCCCCGCUUGCGGUCGGUUUACAGGUGGUGCAUGGUUGUCGUCAGCUCGUGUCGUGAGAUGUUGGGUUAAGUCCCGCAACGAGC
RNAcentral lists this ribosomal RNA (1030 nucleotides) under Arthrobacter sp. RNAcentral describes it as "bacterial SSU rRNA". It matches the Rfam family "Bacterial small subunit ribosomal RNA", at positions 65 to 1097 of the family's 1533-position model. The record is from RNAcentral. Lineage: Bacteria; Bacillati; Actinomycetota; Actinomycetes; Micrococcales; Micrococcaceae.